RNAcentral lists this non-coding RNA (95 nucleotides) under Noviherbaspirillum autotrophicum. RNAcentral's name for it is "Herbaspirillum sp. TSA66 Glycine riboswitch aptamer". It matches the Rfam family "Glycine riboswitch aptamer". From Rfam's summary of the family: This family represents the bacterial glycine riboswitch. Glycine riboswitches usually consist of two metabolite-binding aptamers domains with similar structures in tandem. RNAcentral also lists the same sequence under 1 other name. Lineage: Bacteria; Pseudomonadati; Pseudomonadota; Betaproteobacteria; Burkholderiales; Oxalobacteraceae. The record is from Rfam by way of RNAcentral.
GAACUUCGAUCGGGAGAGAACGCCGGAGACAUCGCGGCGGCGCCGAAGGAGCAACCGCCCCGGAAACUCUCAGGCAAAAGGACCGAUCGGAUCAA